This 253-nucleotide ribosomal RNA is filed under the name uncultured bacterium. RNAcentral describes it as "partial 16S ribosomal RNA". It matches the Rfam family "Bacterial small subunit ribosomal RNA", at positions 524 to 776 of the family's 1533-position model. The record is from RNAcentral.
GACAGAGGGGGCAAGCGUUGCUCGGAAUCACUGGGCGUAAAGGGCGCGUAGGCGGGAUGGCAAGUCGGUCGUGAAAUCUCUCGGCUCAACCGAGAAACGUCGGCCGAUACUGCCGUUCUUGAGGGAUGCAGAGGAGACUGGAAUUCCCGGUGUAGCGGUGAAAUGUGUAGAGAUCGGGAGGAACACCGGUGGCGAAGGCGGGUCUCUGGGCACUUCCUGACGCUGAGGCGCGAAAGCGUGGGGAGCAAACGGG